This 844-nucleotide long non-coding RNA is filed under the name Bos mutus (wild yak). Its description in RNAcentral is "lncRNA (ENSBMUG00000006761.1)". Lineage: Eukaryota; Metazoa; Chordata; Mammalia; Artiodactyla; Bovidae. The record is from RNAcentral.
GGAAACCCAAGCCGCAGUCCGCUUGCUGUUUGCCUGCCGGCCUGCAGCCUUGGACGGCUGUGAAAAACUUGUGGCCCUGAGAAGGAGGCCUCCAGAGAAGCUGGGUCUCUGGGGAACGCUUACCGGGUGGUGCGGCCUCAUCUCAGGUUGCGGCCCAUGGAGGAAGCCAAAGCUGCUUUGAAGAGUUUCGUGGUGACAGCCGUGGGCUUAAAAGUGAUAUUUGAUCACUUAGGUCCCUCAGAAGUUCUACAUCGGGUGCAGAAUUUUCAAAAGGAAGGGGUUUGGGAGCGGCAGUCUGAUGGAAAACUGAACCCGAGGACAGGAGCUCUGUUUGCACAGCAGUGUUUUUAUUUUUAUUUGGAUAUUUUGUGGGGAAGAGGGAGCAGUCUUUCCAGCUACUCCAUGGCAUCCAUCAAUGCAAGCAGUAGCAGCUCUUGUCUGCCCUAAUAUGUCCGCAGCUCCACUGGACCUCAGCUGCUGCUGCUGCUGCUAAGUCACUUCAGUCAUGUCCGAUGCUGUGCGACCCCAUAGACGGCACCCCACCAGGCUCCCCCAUCCCUGGGAUUCUCCAGGCAAGAAGGUGGUCAAAGGCCGGGAGCUAGAACCAUGUGAAGGCUUUCACACAUCUCUAACACCUAAACUGAGAGACUCAAAUAACUGAGAGCCAGGACAGUUACAGCCCAUCUGGCAUCUCUCUCUCUCUCUCUGUGAUCUCCCCAUUACCACAGUUCAUGGUACCUGGAUUUCCUAUGAGUCAGCUCAGGAUUUCCAGGGAGUAUGAGUGUGUGUGAAAGAGACACACACAGAGACAGAAAGAACUGGUGAGAGCCACGUAGAAACUGUG